UGCAAGUCGAACGAAGACCCGGAGCUUGCUCCGGAUAUCUUAGUGGCGAACGGGUGAGCAACGCGUGGGAAUCUACCUUAAGGUGGGGAAUAACUAUUGGAAACGAUAGCUAAUACCGCAUAAUCCCUCAGGGGCAAAGGCUUCGGCCGCUUUUAGAUGAGCCCGCGUUAGAUUAGGCUGUUGGUGAGGUAAUGGCUCACCAAACCUGUAAUCUAUAGCUGGUCUGAGAGGACGAUCAGCCACACUGGGACUGAGACACGGCCCAGACUCCUACGGGAGGCAGCAGUGGGGAAUAUUGGACAAUGGGGGAAACCCUGAUCCAGCAGUGCCGCGUGAGUGAUGAAGGCCCUAGGGUUGUAAAACUCUUUCAGAAGUGAAGAUGAUGACGGUAACUUCAGAAGAAGCUCCGGCUAACUCCGUGCCAGCAGCCGCGGUAAUACGGAGGGAGCUAGCGUUGUUCGGAAUUACUGGGCGUAAAGAGCGUGUAGGCUGUUAGGUAAGUCAGAGGUGAAAUCCCUAAGCUCAACUUAGGAACUGCCUUUGAUACGAUCUUACUAGAGAUCGAGAAAAGUUAGCGGAAUUCCAAGUGUAGAGGUGAAAUUCGUAGAUAUUUGGAGGAACACCAGUGGCGAAAGCGGCUAACUGGCUCGUAUCUGACGCUGAGACGCGAAAGCGUGGGUAGCAAACCGGAUUAGAUACCCUGGUAGUCCACGCCGUAAACGAUGUGUGCUAGCGUUUGUGAUUUAUCGCAAGUGGUGCAGCUAACGCGUUAAGCACACCGCC
Molecule: ribosomal RNA, 783 nt
Filed under: uncultured bacterium
Lineage: Bacteria
Description: bacterial SSU rRNA
Rfam family: Bacterial small subunit ribosomal RNA
Source: RNAcentral